AUUAUCCACUGUGGUUCGAGUAUUUGCUAAAUUCAUCACUGGUUUAUGCCUUUGCUAAAAUUUGGUUUAAUUUGAGACUCAUUUUCUUAUGGCAAAAUUCAAAGUUAAUUCGCUGAGCAUCAUUUUGUCUACAAAUUCGCUAACAUUUCACAUGACCGUUUGUCUUUAAGCUGAAUUCACACUCAUUCCAUUUUGACUCCGUUUUCCUUGACAGAUGUAUUUGAACAAUAGAAAAGAGACGUGAUUUAUGUAAACGGAGGCAAAACGGAGUGACUGUGAAUUCAACCUAAAGAC
Molecule: long non-coding RNA, 294 nt
Organism: Bradysia coprophila
Lineage: Eukaryota; Metazoa; Arthropoda; Insecta; Diptera; Sciaridae
Source: RefSeq, a predicted model, not a curated record